This 746-nucleotide long non-coding RNA is filed under the name Chrysemys picta bellii (western painted turtle). RNAcentral's name for it is "lncRNA (ENSCPBG00000007643.1)". Lineage: Eukaryota; Metazoa; Chordata; Testudines; Emydidae. The record is from RNAcentral.
AGGACGAGGUGUUCUCGGAGCUGGUGAGACCCCUGCUGGCCAUGGUGCCCCUUGGCUACAGCGUGUCCCUGCUGCUGUUGGAGGCCCAUCAGGCCGGGACCAAGCUGCAGCCUCAGGGCACUGGGCAGCACCACAGCAUCAUCCAACAGGUGAUAGAAACCUUCUUCCAGGAGCCCAAGCUCCCAGGGGAUGGCAGGGACCAUCUGCAAACUGUCAGCUUUGUCCAGGUAAGAUGGAGUGUGGGAGAUCCAUCGCUGGUGGGCUGGUGUGUGCCCCAGGCUGGUGUGUGCCCCAGGCUGGUGUGUGCCUCAGGCUGGCUGCCCAUCCUCCAGCCUGGGCCAUUGGGGAAUGAUUUUAUAACUCUCAUUAGAGCAGUAUCUCCCAUUGCUCGUGGUGGGGCCCUGGGGCUGCAAUCUGUGCUGCCCGCUGGCUGGACUCUCACACCCCCUGGGCACUCUUUGCCAUCACCUUCCCAGCUGGGGCACCUGUGAGUCCUGCCAGUCUGCAGGGCAGCCCCCCUCCCCCAAUGCCUGAGUCUGAGCCCCAAAUUGGGGGAUGGGCGGAGUGGGGCAAAUGUACUACAGGAUCAUGGGAUUGCUGAGUGUGGGGAAGCUGGGAUGUCCCUGGGGGCUCCUGUUCUGAGCAGCAGCUGGGGUGGCUUUUCCUUCCCUCUCUUUUCCCUCUGUUACCCAUAUGGCUCUGCCUUCCACUGCCCACCCUCACUGCCUGUGGGUAGCUUCCCCAAG